This 1365-nucleotide ribosomal RNA is filed under the name uncultured bacterium. RNAcentral describes it as "bacterial SSU rRNA". It matches the Rfam family "Bacterial small subunit ribosomal RNA", at positions 27 to 1381 of the family's 1533-position model. The record is from RNAcentral.
GGACGAACGCUGGCGGCGUGGAUUAGGCAUGCAAGUCGGACGGUAGGGCUUUAUCGUAAGAUAGAGUUUGAGAGUGGCGAACGGGUGAGUAACACGUAGGAAUCUACCCUUAAGACGGGGACAACCCAGGGAAACUUGGGCUAAUACCGGAUGAGAGUGCGAGAGAUUGCAUUUAAAAGGAUGGCGAAAGUUGUCGCUUAGGGAUGAGCCUGCGGUCUAUUAGUUAGUUGGUGAGGUAAGAGCUCACCAAGGCGAUGAUAGAUAGGCGGCCUUAACGGGUGGUCGCCCACACUGGGAUUGAGAUACGGCCCAGACUCCUACGGGAGGCAGCAGUCGAGAAUAGUCUACAAUGGCCGGAAGGCUGAUAGUGCGACGCCGCGUGAACGAGGGAGCCCUUCGGGGUGUAAAGUUCUUUUCUAUACGAGCAGUGCUAUAUAUAUGGAUAGUAUAUAUAGAGGGAUAGUAGUAUAGGAAUAAGCAACGGCUAACUCCGUGCCAGCAGCCGCGGUAAUACGUAGGGGGCUAGCGUUGUCCGGAUUUACUGGGCGUAAAGGGUGAGUAGGCGGUUAUGUAUGUCAGAUGUAAAAGGCGCGGGCUUAACUUGCGUUAGCAUUUGAAACUGCAUAACUUGAGUGCAGGAGAGGUAAGCGGAAUUCCUAGUGUAGCGGUGAAAUGCGUAGAUAUUAGGAGGAUCACCGGUGGCGAAGGCGGCUUACUGGACUGUAACUGACGCUGAGUCACGAAAGCGUGGGUAGCAAACAGGAUUAGAUACCCUGGUAGUCCACGCUGUAAACGAUGAGUGCUAGGUGUUGGGUAGCGAUACUCAGUGCCGGAGUAAACACAAUAAGCACUCCGCCUGGGGAGUACGGUCGCAAGACUGAAACUCAAAGGAAUUGACGGGGACCCGCACAAGCAGCGGAGCAUGUGGUUUAAUUCGAAGCAACGCGAAGAACCUUACCAAGGCUUGACAUCCCCUUGACAGAAUCAGAGAUGUUUCCUCUCCUUCGGGAGCAAGGGAGACAGGUGGUGCAUGGUUGUCGUCAGCUCGUGUCGUGAGAUGUUGGGUUAAGUCCCGCAACGAGCGCAACCCUUAUCCUUAGUUGCCAGCAAUAAGAUGGGCACUCUAAGGAGACUGCCGGUGAUAAACCGGAGGAAGGUGGGGAUGACGUCAAAUCAUCAUGCCCCUUAUGUCUUGGGCUACACACGUGCUACAAUGGUCGGUACAACGGGCAGCGAAGGAGCGAUCCGGAGCAAAUCCCAAUAAACCGAUCCCAGUUCGGAUUGCAGGCUGCAACUCGCCUGCAUGAAGUCGGAGUUGCUAGUAAUCGCGAAUCAGAACGUCGCGGUGAAUGCGUUCCCGGGUCU